CCUACGGGAGGCUGCAGUGGGGAAUAUUGGACAAUGGGCGAAAGCCUGAUCCAGCCAUGCCGCGUGUGUGAAGAAGGCCUUCGGGUUGUAAAGCACUUUCAGUGGGGAAGAAAGCCUUGGGGCUAAUACCCUCGAGGAAGGACAUCACCCACAGAAGAAGCACCGGCUAACUCCGUGCCAGCAGCCGCGGUAUACGGAGGGUGCGAGCGUUAAUCGGAAUUACUGGGCGUAAAGCGCGCGUAGGCGGUCUGAUAAGCCGGUUGUGAAAGCCCCGGGCUCAACCUGGGAACGGCAUCCGGAACUGUCAGGCUAGAGUGCAGGAGAGGAAGGUAGAAUUCCCGGUGUAGCGGUGAAAUGCGUAGAGAUCGGGAGGAAUACCAGUGGCGAAGGCGGCCUUCUGGACUGACACUGACGCUGAGGUGCGAAAGCGUGGGUAGCAAACAGGAUUAGAUACCCGGGUAGUC
RNAcentral lists this ribosomal RNA (464 nucleotides) under Vreelandella stevensii. RNAcentral's name for it is "partial 16S ribosomal RNA". It matches the Rfam family "Bacterial small subunit ribosomal RNA", at positions 338 to 795 of the family's 1533-position model. Lineage: Bacteria; Pseudomonadati; Pseudomonadota; Gammaproteobacteria; Oceanospirillales; Halomonadaceae. The record is from RNAcentral.